CACACGCACGCACACACACACACACACACACACACACACACACACACACACAUCCACACACUCAUUCACACCUCAGUCCAAUUUAGAGUCACCAAUCCACCUACCUCAAUGUUUUUGAGAGGUGGGAGGUAACUGGAGAACCCGAAGGAAUCCCAUGCCGAGCUCAGGAUCAAAUCGGGGAACCUGAAUCAAUGAUAGGGCAGGGAAAAGACCAAGUAUCACUGAGACCAAGUCCAGGGGGUGGAGUCAGACCUGAUCCAGUUCCUCCUACAUGGGCGGAGUUGAAAGAAAAGCUUAAGGGGUGGAGACAAGUCAGUAUGUUUCAGGCUGGAUUAGUGAGUUGUUGAUAAGUGUGGUGUUCCGUGUUGUCAAGAGUCUUAUCGUUAGAGGUGAGGAUCAGGGUUAUAGGAGGUCCAGCUCUACCCACUGGACAUUUGGUCCCAUGUAUUAUAUUGUGUUACUAACAAGAAAUUUCACACACUGAAGGCCUGUAUCACCAUUAUCACCACAUGUCGUGUGACAUUUCAGGUCUUGCUGUGAAAAAGAGGACCCCUACUCUCCACUACAGUGCGCACUUAUCAGAGCCCAGCUGUUCUGUCAACUGUGUACUUCCCUUCUGGAUAAUUAGGAACAGCGGGGGGAAACAGCAGGACAUGGGGGUGGAGUAUUCGUGAUUACAGAGAGACAGGGCUGGGGGAUGUCUCACCAAUCUGUGGUCCAAUGUUGCCAUCUAGUGAGGAUUCAAAUAAUGAAAAAACCUUUCCAUCACCAUACAUCCGGGUGACUAGGAACAGGAAAUUGUUCAACCCUGACUUCCUGUUUCACAGGCGUACAAAUAUGAGGGCAAUAAUUAAGAAGUUCCCGUCAACUGGAAAUGUUAUGAAUCAACCUGGAAUUGGACGUGUGUCUAUAUCGUCUCAACGCACUGUGAAGAGGAUGGUUCGAGUGGACAAAAAAUCUCCAAGGAUCACAGCUGGAGAAUUGCAGAAGUUAGUUACGUCUUGGGGUCAGAACGUCUCCAAAACUACAAUCCGAAGUCACCUACAUCACCACAAGUUGUUUGGAAGGGUUUCAAGGAAAAAGCCUCUACUCUCAUCCAAAAACAAACUCGAGCGUCUUCAGUGUGCCAGACACUACUGGACCUUCAAAUGGGAUCGGGUUCUCUGGUCAGAUGAAACCAGAAUAGAGAUUUUUGGUAAUAAACACCAGAGGUGGUUUUGACGCACAUAACAGGAACCUUUACAAAUGGAUUAAAUUAUGACAUUGUUAUUUAACGAAUAAAAAAGUGAUCAUUGGCUAAAUAAUCAACGUUCAGGAUGGUAAUACUAACUCACCUUCAUCACAGCACCCUGUCAUUGAUUAUUUUUCUAUAACAGAACACCACAACAUAUUUUAUUAUUUAAUUAACACAAACUGUUUGGUCAAAACAUCUAACUCCACCAGUGUAGCUGUAGUAAUAGCAUGUACACAUUACACAUGAUGUCGUCGUCGUCCCCAACCAUACUAAUAAAACUAGGAGGGUGUUCUUAAUUAACAUUUUAUUUAGAGUGUGGCUAGUUUCAGUUAUCUUUACUUCAUUACACAGAGCUCAUUAUAUUACUCCGUCUGGAAGUAUUGUAAGAACACUUACUUAUUCUGUAAAAUGAAUAAAAUACGCUUUUUGUAAAAACUACAUUUCAGGAAUUUACAGCG
Long non-coding RNA from Ictalurus furcatus (blue catfish), 1692 nucleotides. RefSeq lists it as uncharacterized. The transcript is spliced from 4 exons. Lineage: Eukaryota; Metazoa; Chordata; Actinopteri; Siluriformes; Ictaluridae. The record is from RefSeq and is a predicted model, not a curated record.